Molecule: ribosomal RNA, 253 nt
Filed under: uncultured bacterium
Lineage: Bacteria
Description: partial 16S ribosomal RNA
Rfam family: Bacterial small subunit ribosomal RNA
Source: RNAcentral
UACGAAGGGGGCUAGCGUUGCUCGGAAUCACUGGGCGUAAAGGGUGCGUAGGCGGGUCUUUAAGGCAGGGGUGAAAUCCUGGAGCUCAACUCCAGAACUGCCUUUGAUACUGAGGAUCUUGAGUACGGGAGAGGUGUGUGGAACUCCGAGUGUAGAGGUGAAAUUCGUAGAUAUUCGGAAGAACACCAGUGGCGAAGGCGACACACUGGCCCGUUACUGACGCUGAGGCGCGAAAGCGUGGGGAGCAAACAGG